GAUUUUUCGGUCUGGCUUUGGACGGGUGGGUGUGUGUGUGUGUGCCCGAGAAGAAAACCAUGCCCGAUGCUGACUGGAUCCGGGAAGAGAAUACAACUCAGCUGACAUCUUUACACGACAGAGGCAGCAAGAAGAACAAUGCCUCAUCACCUCCUGAACUGUUGUAUGAGGAAAUGGAGCAUGAUGAAUGACUGAGGACAUAAUUUUUGAAGAUCUAAUAAUAAAUAUUAACACUUCAUAUCAUCAGGAAACAUUGCCAUCUACAAUAGAAUUAUUUGCACCAAAUUUGAAGAAGAAGACAACCUAGGUGCUUAUUUCAAGCUUUUCUUCUUACUGUGCCAGAAUAUGGAAUGUAACCAGCUCCAUCUUUAUGAUAUACUGGGGCUGGCUGCAAAGCUGGUUUUGUGGAACAGGAAAUGUUUACUUUUUAUCACAAAACAAACACUGGCCUGGGUAGUAAAUGCAGGGCAGUGUUUGUUUUGUGAUAAAAAUAUACAGGACAAGCCAGAAAGUUCAAUGGCAGAAAGGUCAUAUACUGCGAAUAUCAGAAGAAAACUUUAAACCAGUGAUGUGAUGUAUCAUUAUUCAUGAAUAUUUUCAGGAAGAGACAGAUGGAUGAACUCUCAUUUUCUAUGGAAGGUUUCUUAUGGAGCCAACAUUACCAUGCCAUGAUGAGAUAAGAUGAUACCACAAGAAAUUCAAGAUGGAAAAGGGCCAGAGCCAGGUCACUGCAGAGCUGAAAUCUGUCAAUCUAAAUUUUAGUUUAAAAGGCCCUCAUUUAAGACAAAUUCUUCCAUUCAGAAGAAUUCUUUUAAAGACACUAACUCUUAAAUGAGGCUUAAUAAUCUUUGGUUUGACAAUAACCAGUGGUAGAACCUAAAUGCAUGCUUAAUAGGACUGCAGCUGCACUUUGUCAGCCAUUUGUAUUUGUAGCUGGAGAUAAAUGUGUACAUUUUUCUUUUUUGUUUUGUUAUCAAAGGUUAUGGGCCUUUUAUAGGAAUGGGUGAGUGAUGUUCUGUAGCCUGUGAUGUGCUAGGGGACAGACUAGAUGUUCAUGAUGCUCUUUUCUGGCCUUAAAGUCUAUGAGUUUUUUUUCUUGGAGCCAGCACUGCAAGGAAUAUAUUAAGUAACACCACAGGAAACUCAGGAUGGACAAGGGCCAAUGCACCAGUUCACGGCAGAGUUGAAAAUUUGUCAGACUCCAUUUAUAUAUCCAAAAUCUUUUAAUGAAAAUCAGUUAUCUAACAAAAAUCAUAUCCAGUGGCAAUAAAAGAGAUGGCAUGUCAGCAUAUAUCAGGUCGCUAAUUGCUAACACACCAAUAAAUCCUUUCCUAGGGAUUGUGCAUGGGUAUGUGUUUGAGCCCCUUUGUGUGAAGGAAUGAGGAGAACCUAUAAUCUGAGGAGCCAUAAAAAUGAAAAAUUUAGAAAAUGAAAAGUAGAACAUAGGAAUUAAAAAAGAGGAAGAGAUUAUUGUAAAGAAGAAAUAAACAACAUACAAAGAGAAGCAGAGAAAAAUAGAGAAGAUACAACAGUUUAUCAGAAUAAGAUGCCAGAAAUUCUUGCACCCACCUAAAUAGAAGAUAUUUCAUUACAUAAGGUAUUUACAUUACAUGCUCACCUAGGUCCUAGGCAACUGUUUCCAUGAAAAUCCCCUGUUCAAGUCAUUGGGGUCUGCCCAAGCAGGGGAAGUUGCUGGAUCAAUACCAUAAAUAUGCUGUGAAAAUAAAUAUGGACUUUAUGGGCUUGAUCCUUCAAAGUGCUGGGUACUCUCAACUCCUAUUGACUUCCAGGUCAGUAUCUAAUGUAUGAAUGAGAGUUAGUGCAUCAAUGGAGUUGCAAUACAUGGAUCAAUGGAAAGUGAUGCAUUAGGAGGAGCUGAGAGAGCUCAGCAUCUUGGAAGAUCAGGUCAUAUAUAUUCAUUUUUAUUAAUUUAACAGUAUUGAACAUAUAUUGUUAAACACAUAUACACAAACUGGUAGUAAGAAAGUGAAGGGCAUGAAUUUAAAUUCUGAAAUUGCCAAACAUUUCUGAAAUAGUAUUACAGAAAAAUUAUCAGAACUUUGCUUUAUGAUGCCAUCGUAUUAAUAACUAUGUCCCAAAUGCAUCAUGGUGCAACAUUUCAAAUAAUACUGAAUUAUGCAUUAAGUAGACCAACAAUGUGUAUGCAAUGAUUAUUGCAUGUAGGAAGUAGGCAUUUUGAAGCAACAUAAUCAAAAAAUUUUGUUAGGUUAAUCUGCUUACCUCCCAUGCACUGUACUGAAUAUUUACCUUAUAGAAACCCAGGACUGUGGAAUGUCAGCAACAAUGAUAUUAUACAAAAUAAUUAACUUGUUUUGAGUGCUUAAAAAGUCAUUAAUUUGUUCUGAAGUCUCUAAUUAAGCUAAUCCAAGUUUAUAAUGCAUUAGCAGCUGCACUUUAUGUGGAAGUUACUUCUUAAAAAUUAAAAGGACUUCUUCAAAAUGUAAAACUGCUCAAAAUCAGAAGUAGAAUACUGGAGGUUGGGAUUAUGAACACUACAAAUAAAAGAAUUGAAUCCACCAAGGAUGAUAAUUGAUUUGUUCCUUAGUUCCCAUAUGUAAUUUGUCCAAAUGAGGUUUGCAGCAUUCUGCUGGCCCAUGUGAAUGUUUGAAGGUUCUGGUGACCCAUUUCUCCUUUUCUGGUUCGAAAAGCUAUGACAAUCUGUCACCUUCGUCUACUUAGGAGAUCCUGUUAUAGCAUUAUCCAAUUAUUCACUAAACUGUGUAAAGGUCUCUUGACUCAGACUACAAUAGAUGAAAAAAUUAUUUUCGGUUUGAUGUUGGACUUUAGUGGAAGAAAAAGAACUGAUGAAAGUAUAAGCUGACACAGAACAAAGUAUAAAGCCUGAAAUUUAGAAUAUGAUUAGUCUUGACCCUCUGUCCACCAUGAAGAAAGCAAUGAAAAAGUGGAGAAGAGAUAUUUUGGCUAAAAAAAAAUAAGUAGAAGUUUAUACCUAACAUGUUCCUUUUUUCACUACGUGCAAAGUUAUUGCUUUUGCCAACUUUGUCUCUUGCUUGCAAACUUAACCACUGAGAGUGAGAUGUGAUUAAUCUUUAGUUGCAAAGCUCGAAAGACAUUAAGGAAUAAUUUCAUGAGUUUUCAAUAAUAAUGGAAUAAGCCUAAGUGGAAAACUAUAUGGUGAUGUGAAAAAUAAAAUAUUCCCUCUCCCAGUUGAAAUGAAUAAUGGAUCAAAACAAAUACUGAAAAUUCAGUCAAUGAAGGCUGCAAAGAGAGAUCAAAAUGAACUGGGGAAGACUGGGUCCUGGUGCCUGGCACCCUUUAAUUUAUAAAAGGAAAGGAUUUACAAAUUUUGUAGACACAGAGAAGUGAACCUGGUAUUUAAGAACUAUGUAGAAGCCUUGGCAUCCAACUACUUCAUACUCAAGAACAAAAAUAGGAAAAGAUGGCAUACAAGGUCAAUAAAGCUACCUCAGGUCAACAAUAUAUGCACUGAGUAAUGAGCUGCAAGAUCUGUUACAGAACUAUUUAUAGCUGUAACCAGCUAAAAUGUCUGGUUGCUAUAAUAACUACCACAUCAUGUAGCAUUCUUUCUGUUACACACAGCAGCUCUUUCACAGGUAGAACAGGUAUCAAUAUUUUGUGUACAGAGCACUGUUUAAUUUGUUGUAAAGAGCAAAAUAUACCUGGUAUGUAAAAAAGAAAUCCUUUACCCUGCAAACCUCAUUUAAUAGAUCAAUGAAACUUGGAGAUGGGGAAAAUGAGAGAUGUGAGGACAGCUGUCAUGUAUGCACCAUGACAGUUCUCU
This is a long non-coding RNA of Dermochelys coriacea (leatherback sea turtle), 3784 nucleotides long. RefSeq lists it as uncharacterized. The transcript has 5 exons. The record is from RefSeq and is a predicted model, not a curated record. NCBI's taxonomy places the organism in Eukaryota, Metazoa, Chordata, Testudines, Dermochelyidae.